UACGUAGGGCGCAAGCGUUGUCCGGAAUUAUUGGGCGUAAAGAGCUCGUAGGCGGUCUGUUACGUCUGCUGUGAAAACCCAGGGCUUAACCCUGGGCUUGCAGUGGAUACGGGCAGACUAGAGGCAGGUAGGGGAGAAUGGAAUUCCCGGUGUAGCGGUGAAAUGCGCAGAUAUCAGGAAGAACACCAAUGGCGAAAGCAGCUCUCUGGGACGGUACUGACGCUGAGACGCGAAAGCGUGGGGAGCGAACAGG
RNAcentral lists this ribosomal RNA (253 nucleotides) under uncultured bacterium. RNAcentral's name for it is "partial 16S ribosomal RNA". It matches the Rfam family "Bacterial small subunit ribosomal RNA", at positions 524 to 776 of the family's 1533-position model. The record is from RNAcentral.